CACGCCGUAAACGAUGAGUGCUAGGUGUCGGGGGUUCACACCCUCGGUGCCGGAGUUAACGCAUUAAGCACUCCGCCUGGGGAGUACGGUCGCAAGACUGAAACUCAAAGGAAUUGACGGGGACCCGCACAAGCAGCGGAGCAUGUGGUUUAAUUCGAAGCAACGCGAAGAACCUUACCAGGACUUGACAUCCCUUUGACCGGCCCUUAACCGGACCUUUCCCUUCGGGGACAAAGGAGACAGGUGG
This 247-nucleotide ribosomal RNA is filed under the name uncultured Eubacteriales bacterium. RNAcentral describes it as "uncultured Clostridiales bacterium partial 16S ribosomal RNA". It matches the Rfam family "Bacterial small subunit ribosomal RNA", at positions 796 to 1041 of the family's 1533-position model. The record is from RNAcentral. Lineage: Bacteria; Bacillati; Bacillota; Clostridia; Eubacteriales.